RNAcentral lists this ribosomal RNA (301 nucleotides) under uncultured bacterium. RNAcentral describes it as "partial 16S ribosomal RNA". It matches the Rfam family "Bacterial small subunit ribosomal RNA", at positions 509 to 807 of the family's 1533-position model. The record is from RNAcentral.
CAGUAGCCGCGGGAACACGUAGGUGGCAAGCGUUGUCCGGAAUUAUUGGGCGUAAAGGGCUCGCAGGCGGUUUCUUAAGUCUGAUGUGAAAGCCCCCGGCUCAACCGGGGAGGGUCAUUGGAAACUGGGAAACUUGAGUGCAGAAGAGGAGAAUGGAAUUCCACGUGUAGCGGUGAAAUGCGUAGAGAUGUGGAGGAACACCAGUGGCGAAGGCGACUCUCUGGUCUGUAACUGACGCUGAGGAGCGAAAGCGUGGGGAGCAAACAGGAUUAGAUACCCCUGUAGUCCCUGUCUCUUAUAC